This is a long non-coding RNA of Suricata suricatta (meerkat), 597 nucleotides long. RefSeq lists it as uncharacterized. The record is from RefSeq and is a predicted model, not a curated record. Lineage: Eukaryota; Metazoa; Chordata; Mammalia; Carnivora; Herpestidae. The transcript has 2 exons.
ACGUGUUCAGUCACCCCUGACGCUGAGCCCAAACGUCUUCAAAUGCGGCCAGUGCCGGACACUAAAAAGGGGCGCACCGAAGGCUCCGCCAGGCCCUGGCAGAGCGAGGUGAGCCCUCCGGAAAGCGGGCUGCCGGGGCGGGGGCCGCAAACCGCUCGGGCCCUUGCGCAGCCCCGCAGCCCCCACAAACGCUGGUGUGUGUUUGUGUGUCGUCUGUGGGGGCGGAUGGGGGCAGAAGCGACGGCAGGAAAACAGUGGCGUACGUGCCAGAGGAAACCCAGCCUCCCUGGAGGGACAGAAGGGACACACAACGUUGCCCACCUAAGAGGAAAUGGAGAAGCUAAUGAGAAUAGAGAAGGAUCCGAGAAGGUGAUGAGGGAAAUGCGAACUUCCACGUCAACUUACGAGUUCGGAUGGAGGUCCAAUUAAAUCUGUAGAGUUAUUACUGGAGCUCGGGCUCUCCCCAUAAGCUGCCUGUGCAGGCAAAGCUCUCCAGAGCGGCACUGUGAGCACGCUGUAAUGUCUCAUCAUCUGCAGACCGUUUUUGUGAAAAAUAUUAAAGCACAUUUUAAUAAACUCUUGUAGGUUAUCAUUUCA